UACGUAGGGUGCAAGCGUUGUCCGGAAUUAUUGGGCGUAAAGAGCUUGUAGGCGGUUUGUUGCGUCUGCUGUGAAAUUUCGGGGCUCAACCCCGAACUUGCAGUGGGUACGGGCAGACUAGAGUGUGGUAGGGGAGACUGGAAUUCCUGGUGUAGCGGUGAAAUGCGCAGAUAUCAGGAGGAACACCGAUGGCGAAGGCAGGUCUCUGGGCCACUACUGACGCUGAGGAGCGAAAGCGUGGGGAGCGAACAGG
RNAcentral lists this ribosomal RNA (253 nucleotides) under uncultured bacterium. RNAcentral's name for it is "partial 16S ribosomal RNA". It matches the Rfam family "Bacterial small subunit ribosomal RNA", at positions 524 to 776 of the family's 1533-position model. The record is from RNAcentral.